UAGCGGAGGAAAAGAAACUAACAAGGAUUCCCCUAGUAGCGGCGAGCGAAGCGGGAAGAGCUCAAAUUUAUAAUCUGGCACUUUCAGUGUCCGAGUUGUAAUCUCUAGAAGUGUUUUCCGCGUUGGACCGCACACAAGUCUGUUGGAAUACAGCGGCACAGUGGUGAGACCCCCGUUCAUGGUGCGGACGCCCAGCGCUUUGUGAUACACUUUCGAAGAGUCGAGUUGUUUGGGAAUGCAGCUCAAAUUGGGUGGUAAAUUCCAUCUAAAGCUAAAUAUUGGCGAGAGANCGAUAGCGAACAAGUACCGUGAGGGAAAGAUGAAAAGCACUUUGGAAAGAGAGUUAACAGUACGUGAAAUUGUUGGAAGGGAAACGCUUGAAGUCAGACUUGCUUGCCGGAGCUUGCUUCGGUUUGCAGGCCAGCAUCAGUUUUCCGGGGUGGAUAAUGGCGGAUUGAAGGUAGCAGCUUCAGCUGUGUUAUAGCUUUCCGCUGGAUACAUCCUGGGGGACUGAGGAACGCAGCGUGCUUUUAGCGGGGGUUUCGACCUCUUCACGCUU
Molecule: ribosomal RNA, 559 nt
Filed under: Rhodotorula paludigena
Lineage: Eukaryota; Fungi; Basidiomycota; Microbotryomycetes; Sporidiobolales; Sporidiobolaceae
Description: LSU rRNA
Rfam family: Eukaryotic large subunit ribosomal RNA
Source: RNAcentral